UCCUGGCUACAGGACGAACGCUGGCGGUGUGCUUCACACAUGCAAGUCGAACGAGGUAGCAAUACCUAGUGGCGGACGGGUGAGUAACGCUGGGAAUCUGCCUUGAGAUGGGGGAUAACGAGCCGAAAGGCUCGCUAAUACCGCAUAUGCCGAAAGGUGAAAGGAGUAAUCCGUCUUAAGAUGAGCCCGCGUCCGAUUAGCUAGUGGUGGGGUAAAGGCCUACCAAGGCGACGAUCGGUAGCUGGUCUGAGAGGAUGAUCAGCCACAAUGGGACUGAGACACGGCCCAUACUCCUACGGGAGGCAGCAGUGGGGAAUUUUACGCAAUGGGGGAAACCCUGACGUAGCGACACCGCGUGAGCGAAGAAGCCCUUUGGGGUGUAAAGCUCUGUCAGCUGGAACGAAAAAAUGACGGUACCAGCAGAGGAAGCAUCGGCUAACUACGUG
This 446-nucleotide ribosomal RNA is filed under the name uncultured bacterium. RNAcentral describes it as "bacterial SSU rRNA". It matches the Rfam family "Bacterial small subunit ribosomal RNA", at positions 17 to 507 of the family's 1533-position model. The record is from RNAcentral.